Callithrix jacchus (white-tufted-ear marmoset) is the source of this 3816-nucleotide non-coding RNA. The record is from RefSeq and is a predicted model, not a curated record. NCBI's taxonomy places the organism in Eukaryota, Metazoa, Chordata, Mammalia, Primates, Cebidae.
CGGCCGCGCUCACCGUUAACCAGUUCACCUGCUCAUUUUCGGUGGGCCGCCGCGCGCGCCGCGCUCGCCGCGCUCCUCCGCGCCCACGGGGCAUCCAGGCCCAGCCGCGGCUGCUUCGAACCGACGAGUCUCACGACGUCGUCUUCACACAGACAAGUGGGACACGAGCGCGUGACGCUAGCAGAAGCGCUGCUCCGGGCACCAGGACCUUGUCGGCUCGGUCGGCUGGCUGUGGUGAAGUGACGGCCACCUGCAUCCCAACGACUCCACUUUCUAAAGAAAUCAUUUCCACGACCCACUCAGCCAGGCCAGGCCGAGGGUUUGAGUUGCCCCUGAUUCGAAGGUGCUGCUUCUGGAAGGCACAGUGUGUGUCCCUGUUCUGUUUAUGGUGGAACCUGAUUCAACGAGGGUGGAAACAAGGCCACACUUUUCAUCAGUGGUCUUGUUUGAAACUCUGCCCCUGAGGUGACAGGCAGCUCCCACCUAGGACCGGUUAAGAUGGGAGAACGGGGAAGCUUGGCUUUCAUCACUCUUCCAUCUGGAAUACCUACUGGAGUCACUCUCUCAAGAGGCAUAAGCAAGGAGAAAUAUUCCAAAAUAAGAGUCUCAUGAUAGCAAAAUUCUUGAUCUGUGAUCUUGAGAAAAGCUGUUCGCAUCAGGGAUGCCAUCUACUUCGUGGGAGAAACUUCCUGGUUAGCUUUACCUGAACGGUUCCGAUGGGUGUCCAGUUCCAAGAGUGUGGAGAGACACUUCUCAGUCGUGAGAUGAUGAACUCAAGGCUCAAGAUUCCAAAGUUGUUUUUUUUUUUCUUAUCCUCUCCUUCUUGAAAUUAGUUUCCAAAGUUUGCCUGCAGUGUGGAUGGAAAGGGCGGUCUUUCUCUGAUAUUCUCCGAAGAUCCCAUCUUUGAGUUCCAGAUGGUAAACGGGUUGAUUGCCCUCAGUGAACCAUAAAGAAGCUUUCUUUGCUUGAUAAAAAUACACUGGGGCACAAUUACUUAGUGUUAGAACAUCAGCCCUUUUGCAUGGGAAAGUUUUUAUAUAACCAGAAAACAUGCAUCAAAAAUGACAAUGAAAUGGAAUUUUUUGAUAAAUGUUUAAAUGGCCCAUCAGAUUGCCAAAUGUACCUGAAGCUUUGUCUUUCCAGGAAUGUGAAACCAAACUCUUGUUAUAAACUAUUUUUGCAAUUUAUAAGUCACCACAUCAAUAUGUUUAAUUUGGAUGAUUUUACCUCUUCCAUGACGAGGUAUGGAAUGCAGAGCUUUUACUAAUACAAGCUUUAAGGACUCAGGAAGGACAAGGAGGCCAUCCUGGUGCUCUGUGAGUCCAUGCUUAACAUUGGACUUAUGUCCUCUUGAAUAUCACCUAAUUUCUCCAAAUUAGGUGCAUAGCACGGGUAACUCAUAGGUUAUCACAGGUAACUUGACUUAGACCUUAGAUUUCAUUCAAAUUGUAUAUCUCAACAAUUUCAGUAUUGGCUGAUUUAGCAUGAAAAUCUGGCAAACUAUUUCUUGGCGUUCAAUAAAUUUUUGUUCUACUUGAGUUAGCAGUUUUGGAACCCAGUCAGUCUUUCUAUUAAAGUUCCAGGAAUUCUUAUGCAGUUCAGAUGAUAUGAUUCUAAAGUUGUUAGAAACUUGUAUUUAAGAGUGAUAUUCAGGAUCGUCUCCAUGCUUUCAUGAACCUCCUAAAAGACACCAUGCUUUUGAAGCGUUCAGAAACUGCAUCAGCGUUAAGCAAUUCACGUGGAAAUGGCUUUAAAUAGUUAUAAUUAAAACCAUAAUCCCAGCACUUUGGGAGGCCAGGUCAGUUGGAUCACCUGAGGUCAGCCGUUCCAGAGCAGCCUGGCCAAUAUGGCAAAACCCUAUCUCUGCAGGCGUGGUGGGCACCUAUAAUCCCAGCUACUUGGCGGGUUGAGACAGAAUCACUUAAAUCUGGGAGGCAGAAAUUGCAGUGAGCUGAGAUCACCCCACUGCACUCCAGCCUGGGCAUCAGAGCCAGACUCCACCUCAAGAAAAAAAAAUAAUAGUUAUAGUUUAAAACACUAUAAGUAGGAACCUUUAACACCUUAACUAGGAAAUUUGGUUAUUUCUGUGGUCUACAAGAACAUAAUAACCGUAAUUAUGCUUGACAGCAUAUACUCAUACAUAUUAAAAUCACACAUAUUAGAAUUUUAGAAAUCCCAUCAAUUUUAGAACAUAUAUUAACAUAAUUCACUGAAGUAUAACCUGAUGAUUAAACAAUAUUUUUAGUUUAACAAUGCUUCCUUUGUAACUUAACAUGUCAGAUAAUCCUGUUGACCUCUCUUUUGGAUGUUUCAAGGACCCUCUGUCACAUCCCAAAGUUAGAGAUCAGAAAAGACCAUUUUGAAGCUGAUAUUUGCUUUUGAGAGGCCUAUCAAAUAUGUUAAAGGUUUAAAACACUUGAUAUUAUGAAAUAGAAUUACAGAUUACCGUAAAUCAUUCAUUUAGCCAAAAUGAUGACUCAGAAAACUUUUUAAAGGCAAAAAUCUUUGCUCAUUGAUACGGGGAAUAUUUAGCUUUCUAAACAAUCUGUCUCUUGUCUUUCCUUUCUUUUUUGGUAGUUGAUACAAAAGGCAAACAAAAAUCUUUCAUUGUCUUUUAAUAUUACAAGAAAAUCUUGUUCAAGAGAGAAAGCCAAAUUUCACUCUUGCAUUAGUCUGCUGUUAAUGUCACCCCAAAGUUUGAUAACCCUUACAGACAAAUCUAUUCAAUCUUAAUCAGUUUGGCCGUAAGGUGAGAUUCUCAUAAGCCUUUUUUAGCCCUUUAAAAUCUUUGUUAAAGAAUAGAUUCGCACUUUAAGAAAACCCUGUUAUACUUUUAUUUCAAUGUUCAAUUUAUGGAAAAACUGAAUCAUACCCCCUUAAAUUUAGCCAGUAUAUUCGCACACAGAAUUUCUUUUACAAGAUUAAUUUUUUAUAGCCCUUGAUUAAACGUUUAGCUUUAUCUUAUCUAAUUUAAAACAAUCCUUUAACCCUUUAAACUAGGCAAACAUUUACAUUCCUAUGCUUAUAAUCUUUUAUCAAAAACACAUUUCACUCUCAUCACAUACCUUGCAUGUAAAUCUAUUUUUUUCAGUAGUUUCAAUUACAUGUUGUAAUGGUAAUUCUUAGCAACUUUCACUUUUGGUGCCUAAAUUUCCUUUCAUGAGUCCUUUCUCACCUUACAUAGACCAUAUACGACAUGGUUGGGUUUCUGACCCAUCUUAAACAUUCCUCUUUUGUGUUUUGUUUUUGUUUUUGUUUUGAGACGGAGUUUCGCUCUUGUUACCCAGGCUGGAGUGCAAUGGCGUGAUCUCGGCUCACCGCAGUCUCCGCCUCCUGGGUUCAGGCAAUUCUCCUGCCUCAGCCUCCCGAGUAGCUGGGAUUACAGGCACGUACCACCAUGCCCAGCUAAUUUUUUGUAUUUUUUUAGUAGAGACGGGGUUUCACCAUGUUGAACAGGAUGGUCUCGAUCUCUUGACCUCGUGAUCCACCCGCCUCGGCCUCCCAAAGUGCUGGGAUUACAGGCUUGAGCCACUGCGCCCGGCCCAACUUUCCUCUUCUUAAGUAACAAGUCAUUUAAUUUAGGACAAGAAUUUGCCAUACAAGAUCCUUUCUUUUAUUGAAUCUCUUUUCUCCAUAACCUUAUUUGCAUAGCUGGGGAUAUGGCUAAUUCCACAUGUCCCCAGGCCUUAAAAUUCAAAGCAGUUUAUCACCUUAAGGCAUUUAGCAAACCUAGUAUUUGACCUGCAUAAUUCAGACCAAAUGUCUUCAUUUUCCAAUAAUCUUUAAAACUUUUUAUUUCCCAAAGAUUAUUGAAAU